Molecule: unclassified non-coding RNA, 439 nt
Filed under: Hevea brasiliensis (rubber tree)
Lineage: Eukaryota; Viridiplantae; Streptophyta; Magnoliopsida; Malpighiales; Euphorbiaceae
Source: RNAcentral
AAAAAAAAUUACCCAGAAACUUAAAUGACAAUGUACGCAAAGAUCUAUCUUUUUUCUUUUAAGAGAUACAAAACAACAGCUUUUGUUAAACCCUCAAAACAAAAAUAUUAAAAAAAUCUAAAUUAUUAGAAGAUUUUCUUAUGAUAUUUUGCAUUUAUUCCUCUUCAAUUACACAACAUGCUGUUCAUGCAUAUCAAGACAUAAGGCUUGAAGCUUAAUAUUAAAUGGAAUCUAAAGCCACAUAACCAUAAAAUCUCUAAUCUGAUUACAUGAGUUGAAAGUAUUAACUACUGAAAACAAAGUAAUCAUUCUUUUGUUUAAAAUGAUAGGCCCAGGUUGUGUGGGAAUAUUAAAGACUGGAGUGGACAACAAUUCAAGAUAAAUAGUAUAACUAAAAUUAUGUUGGCGAGAAUUUCUCAAACAGUUGCUGGUGUAAUGU